AAAACGACUCUCGGCAACGGAUAUCUCGGCUCUCGCAUCGAUGAAGAACGUAGCUAAAUGCGAUACUUGGUGUGAAUUGCAGAAUCCCGUGAACCAUCGAGUCUUUGAACGCAAGUUGCGCCCCAAGCCUUCACAAUGGCCGAGGGCACGUCUGCCUGGGUGUCACAA
Molecule: ribosomal RNA, 168 nt
Filed under: Arabidopsis thaliana (thale cress)
Lineage: Eukaryota; Viridiplantae; Streptophyta; Magnoliopsida; Brassicales; Brassicaceae
Description: 5.8S ribosomal RNA
Rfam family: 5.8S ribosomal RNA
About the family: 5.8S ribosomal RNA (5.8S rRNA) is a component of the large subunit of the eukaryotic ribosome. It is transcribed by RNA polymerase I as part of the 45S precursor that also contains 18S and 28S rRNA. Functionally, it is thought that 5.8S rRNA may be involved in ribosome translocation.
Source: RNAcentral